GUGCUCACAUGUCAACCAGGGGGUGACGCUCCAUGAUAGUGCCCUGAUUAACAUGUCAGUACA
RNAcentral lists this non-coding RNA (63 nucleotides) under Spodoptera frugiperda (fall armyworm). Lineage: Eukaryota; Metazoa; Arthropoda; Insecta; Lepidoptera; Noctuidae. The record is from RNAcentral.